UGGAGAAAGGCUUGAGUCGGAGAAUAUUCGGGUCGGAAGACAGGAACCACAUGGCCACAUGAUCAUGGCACAUGGUAAACACUAAAACAGAAACUCGAGGAGAAAACAAUAGGGCUUGCCUAGAAAAGAGGAUUGGUUAUCAUUUCGGACUAAAAAGUCGGGAUAGAGGAUUCAUCAAUGACUGCAGCAUCCAUCACAAAAUCUGACCAGUUUUGGACACCGGGUAUGGACUCGACAUUAUACUUGGCAAAACCGAGGUACCAUAUUACUGAAGCUAUGUGAGAACAGACUCCAACUACACGAGCUCCUGCACGACAUCUGCAGUACCAAGCUGUAAUGUUGGACUCUGUGAACUGAAUCCAGAGGAGGUACAUCUUGGAGGAGAUAUGUCUGCUCUGAAGCUUGACCCGAAUUAGUCCAGGAAACUCUUUAUGUAGCAGUAUGUUGACGUCACCAUCUAGGUACUCCUGAACAUAACUCGGGCAAAGCUUCAGCUGAUAAACCCCACAAGUUAAGUUUCUGAUUUCUUCCUCAUCAAGUCUAGGAAAUUCAAGAGAUUCUGGAGCAGUGUCCCAGUUAACUGAUCUUCUGUCCAAGGAAUUUUCCUCUACAAAUGUCUUGAGAGUGUUGAUUUGAGUGUAAAGAUGCCUCAUUUUGGCUGCCAGGGCUAUGUCAUCAUCAAGAUUGCCAGACGAUAGUGGUUUGUAAUAUUUGUUAGAUAUUGCACAAACAAUUCGCACGUAAUCGCCAAUAUAGGGCACUUGGUUGGUAGGAAGUGUAUGGGCGAGAUAUUUCCAGUGUUUGAUUCUCGAAUUCGCAGCCUCCACUACCCAACGGAUCUGCAAAAAUAAAUGAAGUGUGUAGUUUUGCACAGGAAACCCAACAGCAAAAAAAGCAUGUUACCUUUGUGACUAGCCGGGAAGCAUUAGCAUCAAGAUCUGACAUCUGCUUAUCACCUUUGCCUAGCAGACAUGGCAUCUGUGCCUUUAUACCAAACUCCUCCAGCACUUCAAUGGCAUCCCUAAAUCCCCGGUCCACGAUAAAGACAUCAUCAUCUUUAAACCAGUUUUUCAUGUCUUCAACGUUGGUUUUCAGCAUGUGGUUCAAAAUGGAUGCAUCAUUGUUUUUAUAAUCAGCCAAAUAGGGGCCAACGACAGAUAGAAAAUAGCCAUCAGUGGAUACAACAACCAUUGGUUUAAGAAGUGGCCUGCCCUUAUGAGUGCUGUAUGAUCUUCGUUGAAAUUGAAAAUUACUGCUUUUUUGGAUGUAGAUGUAAGUGCCGUCCAAAACUACAAUGACUUGUUGAUUAUUCAUGUUGCCAAAAAGUUCUUGAGCUAGGGGUCGAGUAUGGUUUGUAAUGAUCUCUUCACGGGAAAUGUGUUGCAAGCCUAAGUUGUUUGGUACAAAAUUUUUUAGUAAAGCAGAACGGACUGAUUUCAUGGCUCUGCGAAGUGAUGAUUUAGAGAUUCCAAAUAUUGUGCUGAGGAGCUGGUAGGACAUUCCAGAUCUUAGCUUCAAGAGGAAAAUACCAAGGGACAUCCUGGAGCUCCUAUUCUGUGUGUUUCUUACAUCACCUGCUAUGGCUUUGUGAAGAUCAUCAAAAUUUUCUUUUGUGAGACUGGUGAGUGUGACAUAAUCACUGCUAUUCAUACUGGAAGAGUCAAAAGUGAAUUUUGAAGAAGAUUUCAAAGCAUAUUCUCUAAUCUUUCUGAUGAGUUCUAAUAUUGUUGUUCUGUUUAGUAAUGAGGAGUCCAAGGUGUUGAUAUCUUGCAGCACUCCAGGAGUAAAAUCCCCAUCUUCAAUAUGUGAAGGGCAACAUCUGCAUCCUGGUGGAAUGAUUAUUUCUCUGUUGAGGAAGGCAUUAAAUCUAGCUGAUGGAGGCACAACCAUAAGUUUGGGACCUGGACGCCUACAGACAAAACAGUAUGCAUGGGAAGACGCUGUCCUGUGGAGAGGCAUAGAUAUGGAUGGUGGACUUGACACAGCUGUUUUUUGUUGUUGAUUAUUUUGUUGUGUUGUUGCUUCUCUGCAUGAAAUUUUUUCACUUUUUGUUUGUUGCUGUUUAUAGUAUUUAUGCCUACAUUUGUUGCACAGGAUGUCAUUUGAACUUGCUUCUACGAGAAAGUUUCUUCUAAGAAAACGGCGCAUUCCAACUGUUUCACAUUUUUUUCGAUCAUUUGGUUUAGUCCUCUUUUUGCAUAGGAUGCAGGGAUAAUACUUAUGGCUGUAUUCGUCUUGUUUUUCCAUUUUUUAUGCUCUAAAAAAAGAAAGGAAAAUUGUGUUUGAAUUCAGUUUAAAUUGUGAAUUACAGCACAUUUCAGGUUUUUUUUAUGAGUAUGGUUUUUAUUCCUUUUGGUAUUUUUAUGUUUAAAAAAAUAUUUUACGGUUUAAUUUGUUAUUUUUUGUUAAUAAUGUUGUUAACAAAUCAAGAAUGCUCUUUAUAGACCCUUUUCCUAUGACAUAUUUUGCCUAAGAGUUAUUCCCCUUACCCCCUUGUAUGGCAACAUUCCUAGAUCCCUAUAUUAUUCAUCCAAGGUCAAUUUGUUAUACAUUUGUUAAAGCCUCUAUUUAAUCCAUAAUUUUAAGAUUGUAAAUAUUUUUCUCCAUAUAUUUCUUGCAUACAUGUUUAAAAUUGGCUGCUCAAAGAGGUAAAUUCAUUACUUUGCCCUACAAAUGGUGGCUAAGGGGAAUAACUCCUAGGCAAAAUAUGUCAUAGGAAAAGGGUCUAAUACAAUGAACACUAAAGAUUUUUAUUAGGAUGAGUUCUAAAUUGUAAACAAAACUGAUUUCCAAGGUCUUUUUAAAAUUUUUAGAUAAAUUAUUAAAAUUUAUUUUGCUAAUAUAAAUUGAUUCUACAGUUUAUUCUGCAACACUGUAUGAAAUCAAAUAAGCAAGAAAGUUAGUGCUUUCUAUUUAUUAAUUCAUCAUUCGUAUUUAACGGAAAUGUUGAUAAAUGAUUGAUUUCUUCUGUUGCAGCUUGUGAAAAUGUAUGGAGAGUAUGCCACUUUAAUAUAAAAAAAAAAAAAAAAUGCUGCAUGUCCGGGGAAUCGAACCCGGGGCGCUGGAUUGGGUGGCGGACACGCUACCCCUAGGCUACGGAGGCGUGUGGAUUUGAUUGAUUUAGAAGAGGUACACUCUUUUGGUUUGGUUGUUUAUAUCGAAUCGUUUGCUUCUAUAUAUUCUGUAAAAUUCUUUUUUCUUAUGUUUAUUAAAGUAUUCAUAAAAGAU
Long non-coding RNA from Saccostrea cuccullata (small rock oyster), 3228 nucleotides. RefSeq lists it as uncharacterized. The record is from RefSeq and is a predicted model, not a curated record. The transcript is spliced from 4 exons. NCBI's taxonomy places the organism in Eukaryota, Metazoa, Mollusca, Bivalvia, Ostreida, Ostreidae.